Molecule: non-coding RNA, 45 nt
Filed under: Schistosoma mansoni
Lineage: Eukaryota; Metazoa; Platyhelminthes; Trematoda; Strigeidida; Schistosomatidae
Source: RNAcentral
AUCCAACUGACGAGUUCAAAAAGGAAUGAAACGUGCGUUCUGGAU